UUGCUUCUUUGCUGACGAGUGGGGACGGUUUUAGUAAUGUCUGGGAAACUGCCUGAUGGAGGGGGAUAACUACUGGAAACGGUAGCUAAUACCGCAUAACGUCGCAAGACCAAAGAGGGGGACCUUCGGGCCUCUUGCCAUCGGAUGUGCCCAGAUGGGAUUAGCUAGUAGGUGGGGUAACGGCUCACCUAGGCGACGAUCCCUAGCUGGUCUGAGAGGAUGACCAGCCACACUGGAACUGAGACACGGUCCAGACUCCUACGGGAGGCAGCAGUGGGGAAUAUUGCACAAUGGGCGCAAGCCUGAUGCAUCCAUGCCGCGUGUAUGAAGAAGGCCUUCGGGUUGUAAAG
RNAcentral lists this ribosomal RNA (350 nucleotides) under Escherichia coli. Its description in RNAcentral is "bacterial SSU rRNA". It matches the Rfam family "Bacterial small subunit ribosomal RNA", at positions 74 to 430 of the family's 1533-position model. The record is from RNAcentral. Lineage: Bacteria; Pseudomonadati; Pseudomonadota; Gammaproteobacteria; Enterobacterales; Enterobacteriaceae.